CGCGCAGCAUUCUGUAGCAAUACAGGGUGUGGGCGCGUGGCGAACGGGUGCGUAACACGUGGAUAACCUUCCUUGAGGUGGGGAAUAACCCAGUGAAAAUUGGGCUAAUACCGCAUAACAUCGCGAUGGCACAUGCUGAUGCGAUCAAAGGCGCAAGUCGCCACAAGAGGGAUCCGCGGCCGAUUAGCUUGUUGGCGAGGUAAUGGCUCACCAAGGCAAUGAUCGGUAGCCGGACUGAGAGGUUGGCCGGCCACACUGGAACUGAGACACGGUCCAGACUCCUACGGGAGGCAGCAGUGGGGAAUCUUGCACAAUGGACGAAAGUCUGAUGCAGCAACGCCGCGUGGGGGAUGAAGCUUCUCGGAGUGUAAACCCCUUUCGACCCGGAAGAAUGCCCGCAAGGGUAUGACGGUACGGGUAUAAGAAGCCCCGGCUAACUACGUGCCAGCAGCCGCGGUAAUACGUAGGGGGCCAGCGUUGCUCGGAAUUACUGGGCGUAAAGGGUCCGUAGGCGGUGUAGCAAGUCGAUAGUGAAAUCUCUGGGCUUAACCCAGAGGCUGCUAACGAAACUGCUGUGCUAGAGUGUGAGAGAGGCGAGUGGAAUUACGGGUGUAGCGGUGAAAUGCGUAGAUAUCCGUAGGAACAUCCGAGGCGAAGGCGGCUCGCUGGAUCACAACUGACGCUGAGGGACGAAAGCUAGGGGAGCAAACAGGAUUAGAUACCCUGGUAGUCCUAGCCCUAAACCAUCAGGACUUGGGGUUUGCCCUGUACGGGGCAAGUCCCGUAGCUAACGCGUUAAGUCCUGCGCCUGGGGAGUACGGUCGCAAGGCUGAAACUC
RNAcentral lists this ribosomal RNA (838 nucleotides) under uncultured Actinomycetes bacterium. RNAcentral describes it as "bacterial SSU rRNA". It matches the Rfam family "Bacterial small subunit ribosomal RNA", at positions 63 to 902 of the family's 1533-position model. Lineage: Bacteria; Bacillati; Actinomycetota; Actinomycetes. The record is from RNAcentral.